GAGUUUUUACAAAGCAUCUGACAGAAAGUAAAUAAGGUGUGAGCAGACACUGUCAGCAGAAGAGCUCCUCCUUCAGCUGUGUUCGGCCCAGUCUCGUUGGUUAUCCUGGACUUCGGGAUGAGAAGGGUGUGUUUGUACUCCACGAGCCAGGCACCUUGUUAAUCACUCGCCUGGAGAAGGAAGGAGCCUCCGAAUUAGCCAAGGCUGCGUUUGGCUGGCAUAGCUACAGAGUCCAGCACAGAAAUGAAGAAACCCAGAGGUAACUAUAUCAUCACAAAAGCAAACAGCUGACUGAUGCAUCCCGACGCAAAGAGAACAGGAGCACCGUUUAUCAGGGUAUGCACUUUCCUUUUGAAAAUAAUGUUCCUGAAACAUGAACCUAUUGUGCAGAUUAUUUUGAGUUAAUUGCAUUAUGCAGGUUAAAAUGUUUUUAAAGUGAACAUAUACAUCUAUCUAAGCUAACUGGGGAAA
RNAcentral lists this long non-coding RNA (471 nucleotides) under Fukomys damarensis (Damara mole-rat). RNAcentral's name for it is "lncRNA (ENSFDAG00000027616.1)". Lineage: Eukaryota; Metazoa; Chordata; Mammalia; Rodentia; Bathyergidae. The record is from RNAcentral.